GAGUUUGAUCGUGGCUCAGAUUGAACGCUGGCGGCAUGCCUUACACAUGCAAGUCGAACGGCAGCAUGAUCUAGCUUGCUAGAUUGAUGGCGAGUGGCGAACGGGUGAGUAAUACAUCGGAACGUGCCUGUAGUGGGGGAUAACUAGUCGAAAGAUUAGCUAAUACCGCAUACGACCUGAGGGUGAAAGUGAGGGACCGCAAGGCCUCAUGCUAUAGGAGCGGCCGAUGUCUGAUUAGCUAGUUGGUGGGGUAAAGGCCCACCAAGGCGACGAUCAGUAGCUGGUCUGAGAGGACGAUCAGCCACACUGGGACUGAGACACGGCCCAGACUCCUACGGGAGGCAGCAGUGGGGAAUUUUGGACAAUGGGCGAAAGCCUGAUCCAGCAAUGCCGCGUGUGUGAAGAAGGCCUCGGUU
RNAcentral lists this ribosomal RNA (416 nucleotides) under uncultured microorganism. RNAcentral describes it as "bacterial SSU rRNA". It matches the Rfam family "Bacterial small subunit ribosomal RNA", at positions 9 to 424 of the family's 1533-position model. The record is from RNAcentral.